GAAACCUGGUUGAUCCUGCCAGUAGUCAUAUGCUUGUCUCAAAGAUUAAGCCAUGCAUGUCUAAGUAUAAGUGACACUAACAACGAAACUGCGAAUGGCUCAUUAAAUCAGUUAAAAUCUACAGUGUGGUACAAAUUACUACAUGGAUAACCGUGGUAAUUCUAGAGCUAAUACAUGCACAAAGUCCCGACUUC
Molecule: ribosomal RNA, 194 nt
Filed under: uncultured eukaryote
Lineage: Eukaryota
Description: partial 18S ribosomal RNA
Rfam family: Eukaryotic small subunit ribosomal RNA
Source: RNAcentral